AUUGAACGCUGGCGGCAGGCCUAACACAUGCAAGUCGAGCGGUAGAGAGGUGCUUGCAUCUCUUGAGAGCGGCGGACGGGUGAGUAAUGCCUAGGAAUCUGCCUGGUGGUGGGGGAUAACGUUCGGAAACGGACGCUAAUACCGCAUACGUCCUACGGGAGAAAGCGGGGGAUCUUCGGACCUCGCGCCAUUAGAUGAGCCUAGGUCGGAUUAGCUAGUUGGUGAGGUAAUGGCUCACCAAGGCGACGAUCCGUAACUGGUCUGAGAGGACGACCAGCCACACUGGGACUGAGACACGGCCCAGACUCCUACGGGAGGCAGCAGUGGGGAAUUUUGGACAAUGGGCGCAAGCCUGAUCCAGCAAUGCCGCGUGCAGGAUGAAGGCCUUGGUUGUAACUGCUUUGUAC
RNAcentral lists this ribosomal RNA (407 nucleotides) under uncultured bacterium. RNAcentral describes it as "bacterial SSU rRNA". It matches the Rfam family "Bacterial small subunit ribosomal RNA", at positions 30 to 440 of the family's 1533-position model. The record is from RNAcentral.